This is a long non-coding RNA of Mytilus trossulus (common blue mussel), 905 nucleotides long. RefSeq lists it as uncharacterized. The record is from RefSeq and is a predicted model, not a curated record. The transcript has 3 exons. NCBI's taxonomy places the organism in Eukaryota, Metazoa, Mollusca, Bivalvia, Mytilida, Mytilidae.
AUCUUCCUUCAAUUUGUUGAAUAAAUUUUGGCAACAUGUUCUUCAAACAUCUUCUUUGUAUAUUUGAUAUGAUGGAGCCAUGUACAUGAAUGGAUAAAGCAGGACAAGAACUAUAGAAGAUACAGAGAAAUAAUAUACAGCAGAAAUGAUAGGCGAUGUAAAAUUUGCAGAAGCCAACUAAACCUAAAUGGUAAUCAGACAUCUUGGUUUUCAUGAUCAAUAGGUCAUUACUGAAGAGGAAACUUAAAGUUGAAAUUUAUUUACAUAGUGCAUAAUUGGAUUAAUUUGAAAUGGAAUGUGUGCUUUCCUGCAAAAAAGAAAUAGGAAAUUUCAACAUUAUCACAUGAUAAUGACCAUAUAAAACAAAAUGGAGUUCUAUCAUAGAUACACAAAAACACUAUUGCAUAAAAGCAACAACAUAUCUUAAUCAAAAGAAAGGAGAAUGCAGAACAAAUACUAUUUUGUUGUUGAAAAAAGGAACAUCAGUUUUAUCCACUCAUUUACAUUGCUCCCUCAUAUCAAAUAUACAGAAGAAGAUCACUGAAGAACAAUUUGCAAAAAUGAUUUCUCUUAGAAUUGAAGGGAAUUGAUUAGUGAAUGGAAUAAUGUAUUCACUGAAUUCUUACGUAGUGGAUUGAAUAACUGUACACAAGCUGAAACAGAAGAAAUUCUAAUUUAAAAUAACACGAAAAGUGUUUAUUUUAUUAUUUAAUCUGCAAAUAUAUAAACAAAUUCUUUAGAACACCACAAAUGAUAUAAUGACAUUCAAAUUGGUUGCUUAUUAAUGUAUCGCAUUGAAACAAUUACAAAGAAAACAGAAGCAUUUGCUCCAAAAAAAAAUUAUAAAUCUAAGUUAAAUUUAUAUAAAAAGUAUAAACAAUACCUAGAUCUAAAUAGUCAGACUG